UGGGGAAUCUUGCGCAAUGGGCGAAAGCCUGACGCAGCGACGCCGCGUGAGGGAAGAAGGCCUUCGGGUUGUAAACCUCUUUCAGGAGGGACGCGGUACCUCCAGAAGAAGCCCCGGCUAACUACGUGGCAGCAGCCGCGGUAAAACCGGUUACUCCUACGG
Molecule: ribosomal RNA, 162 nt
Filed under: uncultured bacterium
Lineage: Bacteria
Description: partial 16S ribosomal RNA
Rfam family: Bacterial small subunit ribosomal RNA
Source: RNAcentral